GAUGAAGAACGUAGCGAAAUACGAUACGUAAUGUGAAUUGCAGAAUUCAGUGAAUCAUCGAAUCUUUGAACGCAUAUUGCGCUCUCUGGUAUUCCGGAGAGCAUGCUUGUUUGAGUAUCAGUAAACACCUCAACUCCCUUUUCUUUUUUGAAAUUGGAGCUGGACUUGAGUGAUCCCAACGCUUUCUUCCAAGAAAGUGGCGGGUUGCUUGAAAUGCAGGUGCAGCUGAACUUUUCUCUGAGCUAUAAGCAUAUCUAUUUAGUCUGCCUAAAAAACAGAUUAUUACCUUUGCUGCAGCUAACAUAAAGGAGACAAGUUCUUGUGCUGACUGAUGCAGGAUUCACAGAGACAGCUUCGGCUGACUUUGUAAACUCGAUCUCAAAUCAAGUAAGACUACCCGCUGAACUUAAGCAUAUCAAUAAGCGGAGGA
RNAcentral lists this unclassified non-coding RNA (430 nucleotides) under soil metagenome. RNAcentral describes it as "partial contains 5.8S ribosomal RNA, internal transcribed spacer 2, and large subunit ribosomal RNA". The stretch from base 1 to 120 matches the Rfam family "5.8S ribosomal RNA", at positions 35 to 154 of the family's 154-position model. The record is from RNAcentral.